Molecule: ribosomal RNA, 587 nt
Filed under: uncultured bacterium
Lineage: Bacteria
Description: bacterial SSU rRNA
Rfam family: Bacterial small subunit ribosomal RNA
Source: RNAcentral
CGUACGGGAGGCAGCAUUGGGGAAUAUUCGACAAUGGGCGCAAGCGUGAUCCAGCAAUACCUCGUGUGUGAAGAAGGCGUGCGGGUUGUAAAGCACUUUCGUUUGGGAGGAUAUGCUAUAUGUUAAUAGCAUAGAGAGCUGACGUUACCAAAAUAAGAAGCACCGGCUAACUUUGUGCCAGCAGCCGCGGUAAUACAGAGGCUGCGAGCGUUAAUAGGAAUUACUGGGCGUAAAGAGUGCGUAGGUGGCUAUGUUAGUCAGGUGUGAAAAUUAGGAGCUUAACUUCGAACCUGCGCUUGAAACCGCUUAGCUAGAGUCCUGUAGAGGGCAGUGGAAUUUCCGGAGUAGCGGUGAAAUGCGUAGAUAUCGGAAGGAACACCAGUGGCGAAGGCGAUUGCCUGGCCAGAGACUGACAAUGAGGCAAGAAAGCGUGGGUAGCAAACAGGAUUAGAUACCCUGGUAGUCCACGCCGUAAACGAUGAGAACUAGCUGUUGGCCCCUUCGGGGGAAAGUAGCGUAGCUAACGCGUUAAGUUCUCCGCCUGGGGAGUACGGCCGCAAGGCUAAAACUCAAAGGAAUUGACGGGG